AUGCAAAGUGAGGCAUCCCACGAUGUGCCAGCCUUACCUUGCUUUGGCACUUGGUGUGGCAGGAGAGCUUGCAGCCUGCGAGAGGGGAGAAGGGAUCAGUGGGGACAUGGCCAUGGGGCUGCUCACAGGGACUGGACAGGGUGGCACCCAUGGGGGGACACAAGCAGCAACGGUACUGGGCACAGAGCACAGAGAUGCACACUGCGGGUGCACAGAUGCACACACCUUGCACAUGUGCACGCACACAGCCAGAUGCAUGAACACCACAUGCGUGACCCAUCCACUCACAGUGACAGUGUGCCAAAGGCACUGUGCCUCUGCUCCCCACAGUGCUCAGAGAUUAAUAGCAUAAAUGCAUGCAAACACAGCUUGCGAUCUCUUGCACAUGCACACGUGUGCACACAGCUGUGCGCAGCUGUUCACAUGCACAGUUGGGCUGUAUGGGAUGCUGACCCACCAGCAAUGCCAGGCGCUUCCCAGCGUGCCACCCCAAAGGGACAUGAGGGUCCCUGUGCAGCAUGCCCCAUGGCCACACUGCCCCCUGCCCCCCCGAGGCCUCGUCCCCCCCGGGAUCAUUUCCUGCAGUGCAGGGAACACAGGAAGCCGCAUUGUUCCCGCGACCUGGAACGUUUCCUCCCACCACCCCUCGCACGGGGCUCAGCACCGCCACACACGUGCGGGGGGACACGUCACCGCGUGUGCUACCGGGGCCUCGAGGGGGACGGGGCCACGAGCACCAGCAGGGGUGUGAGCAUGCACACACGCGAUGCUGGGACAACGCUCACUGCACGCUCGGCGCACUCACAACCGCAUGCAGAAGCGUGCAAAAGCAUCGCUGCAUCCUCUCGCUCACGCUCACGUCCCGCCCCCUCACCUCGGCAGGUGCUGCCCUGGCGCGUGAUGGCCUGCCGGCAGAUCCCACACGCCUUCACCUUCUUGAAGCUCGUCAUCUUGAAGGCGUGCGCCGGGGGGGACUCCAGGUCCUGGGGCUGCGGGACACGGGGACAAAUCAGCACCCCUAUCCUUUGCCCCGCCCCAUGCCGAGCUCUGCCCUGCUCGGUUUCCCUCUAG
This 1071-nucleotide long non-coding RNA is filed under the name Pavo cristatus (Indian peafowl). Its description in RNAcentral is "lncRNA (ENSPSTG00000003597.1)". The record is from RNAcentral. Lineage: Eukaryota; Metazoa; Chordata; Aves; Galliformes; Phasianidae.